Long non-coding RNA from Cucumis sativus (cucumber), 1521 nucleotides. RefSeq lists it as uncharacterized. The transcript is spliced from 2 exons. NCBI's taxonomy places the organism in Eukaryota, Viridiplantae, Streptophyta, Magnoliopsida, Cucurbitales, Cucurbitaceae. The record is from RefSeq and is a predicted model, not a curated record.
UCUCUUUUCUUCAAUUUCUCUCUCUCUUUGUUCUUCUUUUUAUUAUUUUUCCUCUCUCUUUUUUUUUUUUUUUUUUUGGGAAAUGAGAUUGAAUUACAGUCAUAAUUUGCUUGUGCGGCAUCAUCAAGAUUCACAACAAAAUAAGAAUAAGAAAAAAAGGAAACCCUAAUUUUAUUUUUUGAGGAUUGAUUUGUUUUGAGGAUGAUUUUGAUUGAGAAUCUUGAUGAUGCUGCAUUAGCAAUAACAUCAAUGGCUAUGUAUAUCUUGGGGUCUUCAAUAAUCUCACACAUCUAAAGGGUUUGAAUGUUGCAGAUCAAUUGAUUGGAGAUUGGCCAAUUUGUAAGAGAGAUAUGAUGGACAUGAAAAUUAUAGAGAGAAAAAAUAAAAAAAGAAGAAGAAAAGAUGAAUUCCAGCUGUGUGUUAUGAGUCUUCCGUACUGCUGUUUUUUCUGUCCCACAUCGGUUGUGAUCAUUCAGCAUUUCUGUCCUCAAAGAACCCUAGAUAACUGUAAAAUUGCUUUGUAAAUAAAAAAUAAAAGAAGCUAAAGAAAAUUACAUCACUAGGCACAAGCCGUGAAGAGAAUUGAUUAUCGAUUAGUAGACAAUUGAUAUGAAAGAAGCCUGCAGGUGUGAGUGAGUUUGCCAUUAAAAAAUACACUAAUUAAUAUUACGCCCUUGUCAAGUUCUAACACAAAAAAUUGAUAAUGCAACCAACAAAAGAAAUGUACAACAAAAUGCUAGACGAAGGCUCAAUGUAUCGACAAAUGGUAAGUAGUUAAUUGGAGUAUAUAUUAUCUCAAUUCAAUUAAGUUGACAACCUCACAUAGCAAUAAUCUUAUCGUAUUCCAACUUUUCAUUCAUAUCUUUACGUCUGUGUAUGUAUAUAUUUGGUUCAAUUUUUGUUAACCCUAAUUUUACAAUUUGAAGUAUAUGGUGGGAUUUGACUUUCAAUCAUUUUUCAAUUUAUAGAAAUGGUUUCAAAUGGAAUAAAGUUCGAAUUUAGAAACAAACCCAUGUUUGGAAUUUCAAUUUGCAAUCUGCUGUUAAUUGUCAAUUCGAAGAUCCAUUGUGUUGAAUCUUUCUCUAUAAAGAACUUUAGGUAUUUCUACUUUUUUUUUCUUGUUUGGGUAAAAUUAGAAAAGUGAAGAACUUUCCUCUCUCUCUCUCUCUCUUAAUAUUUUUUUUUUUUAUAUCAAUACUUAGCAUAUUUUGUAUGAAAUUCAUUUACAAAGUUUUGGGUUUUCAUGUAGGUAGCCAUAAAUUUUAUACCAAACUGCAUACAAUUGAUAUGUUCUUAAGAGUUAGGAAGUGUUGGAGGUUCAAACUUUUUCAUACGAACUUUGUUGUACUUUAGAAUUGGAAACUUUAUUAGGUAGUGAAAUUAAUACCCUAAUUAUGCUAGAAAGUUUCUCAAUCAAAUAUGAAGAAGACUUUUUUUUAGGGUAAUUGUAGCUUGGGUAACACUUUCAACAAUAGUAGUUAAGUGUAUAUCAAAGUUUUAAAAUGAUAGGUUUUACCAAUA